Molecule: long non-coding RNA, 202 nt
Filed under: Arabidopsis lyrata
Lineage: Eukaryota; Viridiplantae; Streptophyta; Magnoliopsida; Brassicales; Brassicaceae
Description: long non-coding RNA (ALYR_LNC001578)
Source: RNAcentral
AUUCUUCUGUGUUGUACUUAAAUGUAACCAGUCAGAUGAAAAGCAGUUGAUUUUAUUUUCUUCCCAAUUCUUCAAAAAGCAACGUGAAAAGGUAGAAUUCAUCCCACUUCAAAUAUAUGAGAGAAAAAAUUCUUCUACUUUUUGCUUUUCUUUUCUUCUUUUAUUUUUCAUCUCAUUUCUUCCACUUUUUACCAGUCACACC